ACUUGAUUUUUUUAGAUUAUAAAUUACUAAAACUAUAUAUAUUAACAUCAACAUUUUUGUUUAGGUUAUUUUGAACAUAUUUGAGGCAAAGGUACUGGAAUACGAUAAUUAUCCGCUGGGAGCGUUAACUUUGACACAUGGUCACGUGGUACACUGUGGAUGUUUGUGGGACGAUCUUAUGUGUAUUCCUUAUGGGUGAUUUGCAAAAACAAGAGAUUAUUUAAAAUAUUACUAUUAAUUUUGUACAAUUGUAUCAAUACAUCACAAGAAAUUCGCUAUAAAUACUAUAUAUGGUAGAAAAUGUUUGAUAUAAUACAUAAAUAUAAUUUCGAUAUACAAACUUAGGAAGAGAUUUUUAGGUUAACAGCCGAAAUGUGAGGUUAAGGCUGUCAAGAAGGACUUCGUAAAUGUAAACAAAAGUUGCAAAGCCAGAAUUUGCCCAAUCUCAAAGCCUUUUUAAUUCCUAUAAAGUUGAAAUGUUGCUUCCUCUGCUUAAGUAUACUGUUUUUAACAUAAUACCACCAUAAUUCGGUCUUAAAUUUGUAUGAAAUAUAGUUUUUUAGUGAUAUUCACCAAGCAAAGUUUACAAACUUUUGUGAACCAUUCUAUUUUGUAUAAUAAAAAUGGUAAUGUGCUUUGCCCCGGAUUGUACACAAUAUUGUGAAAGAGGGAUAUGUAGAUUCUUUGUUGUUCCCAGGAUCUGGUUGAAAAGAAGACAUUGAUUUCAUUACUAAGGCACCCAGGAGAAGGGCAUGGCCGUAACCCUCAAAUAUGAGUAUUAUAGAAAAUUAACAGUUACCCAGGCAACCAUCCAAUGAGAAUCGUAGGAAAAUUAACAGUUCCACAGACAAUCAUCCAGUGACCACAUUGUCUCUUUUUGGACAUACCAUCUGACGCUUUCUGAAGAUCUUGGGGUGUAAAUAACCCAGGACAGCACCGGAAGAAGCCGUCAGACCACAGGCUAAAUUCCUUAUUAAAAUCUAUAGCUUGCCUAUAAACAGAGACAGACUAUUUUUAUAUAAAAUAACUUCAUUAGUUCUAAAAUGUAGAUCUUGAAUUGUGACCAUAAUAAAAUGAGAAAAUAAAGUGUUUAUACUGAA
This 1100-nucleotide long non-coding RNA is filed under the name Diabrotica virgifera virgifera (western corn rootworm). RNAcentral's name for it is "uncharacterized LOC126883896". Lineage: Eukaryota; Metazoa; Arthropoda; Insecta; Coleoptera; Chrysomelidae. The record is from RNAcentral.